UAUUUGGCUCCGCUUUGUCCUUCCAAUCCAGUGCGCUUGAACUCGGUGGAGGCUGUGAGGAAGGCGAAGGGCUCUUUCCUGGGGGGGGCAACCCAGAGCCGCGGCCUCGCCCACUCCCACAGCGCGCUGGGACGCCCCCCCGUCAGGUCCACACACACCGAGCGCCCACGUCGGCCCCCGCUGGGCACGGCCCUCCCGCCCCCUCCCCGCCGAGCCCACCCCGGAGGGCGCGGCCACGGGCGGCCGAGGCGAGCCGCCGGGACCCUGAGCGCUGAGGGGCCGGAGCCCAUCGGAGCCUCCGCCGCCGGGACCUGGCUCCACGCAAGCCCCCGCGGGAGCAGGACCGUGGGCAGCCGCGAGCACCGGACUCGCCUCAGACCCGAGCGGGGGGGGCCCUUCCGACCACCCGCCCCUCAGCCUCCCGGCGACGCCCGCCGCCCUCACGGGGACUCAGCUCACCUGCCGCCGCCUCCUCACCCGCCAGCGACACGUAGCACAAGAGCUGACGACCGAGGCUACCGGAACCGGAACCGGAAACCGCGUCUCCGGCCUCUAGCCCGCCCACCCAUCCGCCGCUCAUUGGUCCCUCACGCGGAGACGUCAGUGCGCAGGCGCUGCUCCGAGUACGCCUCGGACACGCCUCCCGGAAGAGGCGGCCUGCGGUGCGCGAUGACGUGCGCGCCCCCGGUUUGGCCCUCCUGGGCGGCUGCGUGGGGCGGCUCUGGCGUCCUUCCCCGGCAGCGUCCCCGGAGCCCUGACGUCAGCGCGUUCGCGGCCGGAGCCCCGCGGCCUUGCGCGGCACGUGCUCUGCAGACGCGGGCGAGGCCGGUGGCGGCGACGUGGCUGCGUUGGACGGGACGGGCCGGGCCCCGACUCAGUUGUUGGUUCGGGCCGCGCGUCCCCCGCCUGCCCGCACUGCUCACGUGCGUUCGAUUUAUUGAUCGAAGGGAAGCUCGCAAGCAGCAUGACCACGUGACGGCCGACCUCCCCCAAAGUCUCCAGCCCCGCCGGGCCGCCGUUUGGGAUCAGUCUGGGGACGACGUCCAGAACGGGGUCCACCCUAGAUUUCCUUCAAAUCCAUCUUCUUGGGAAUUUAUAUUUUAUCUGCCCUCUAAGACAAAUACUAGUUUUAUGAGAUCGGCACCGCACAACAAAAAGGAUAAUUAAAACAAAAAGAGAAGAGCACUUUCUUGACCAUUUCUGAGUCUCCUUCAGAGAUGGUUUCCUGCGCUGGUCCUGUAUGGUCAAGGUAACUGCUCUAACACACAAGCACACCAUCUGGUUUAACACCAUGUUUAUUCUCGCCCAGACCCAGUCUCAGAUGGACUUGAUAUAGGGAGGUGGUCUACUUUCCAGUCAUUUAGCAUCUCAGGCUCCUUAAACCGUGCAGUGCUGCCAAUUUCCAGGGCCUUGGAGUCUUCAGGUGCCUCCUUUGCAUCCAACCAGAGGAUAAAGGAAGAAAACAAAUGUGGAGGCUUGAGUGAGACCUGAGAGGCCUAAAAACAGCAUCCAUCACUUUAAUCUAAAUCUCAUUGACCAGAACCAACCAGUAUGGCUUCACUGAUCUGAAGAAGUCAUAGGAAACACAGUUUCAUUGUGUGCCAGGGGAGGAAAGAGGCAUUAGUAUAAUCGAAUAACCAACUAGUCUUUAGCAUUUUCUCAGGUAUGUAUGUUCCUAAGGGUUCCAUUCUCAAAAUGUUCUUGCAUUUUAGAUUUUUCAGUUGACUCUUCGGGUUUUGAUUACUAUGAGAAGAUUGUUGACAAGUCUAUAUAUCUCUGAUCAAGAUCCUUUUAAAAAUUUAAUUUUUAAAAAAUAAUCUCUACACCCAAUGUGCCACUUGAACUCACAACCCUGAGAUCCAAAAGUUGCAUGCUUCACCAGCUGAACCAGCUGAACACCCCAAAGUCUUGUUAAAUGGAAAAAAAAAAAAACCAGAGUAGAGAAACAUGCCUACAGUAUGUUACAACUUAUCUAAGAAAUUUUAAUAAUAUCUCCACAUAUACUUAAUGUUUUCCUGAAGAUUUUUAAAAUAUAUUUAAUUAGAGAGGGAGAGUGUGGGCACACAUGAGGAAGUGGGAGAGAUGUACAGAGCCUGCUGUGGGGCUCGAUCCCACCACCCAAGAGAUCAUGACAUAAGCUGAAACCAAGAGUCAGAUGCCCAACUGACUGAGCCAUCCAGAGGCCCCUAUAUUUAAUUUUUUAAUGAAAAUAUAAACUUUUAGAAUUAUAUGAUUACCUGUAGUGUGGAGAGAUUAAGGGUAGAAGUGAAACCUACCUGAGUAUACCUCAUUUGGCAGAUUUGAUUUUGGAACUGAAAAUUUUUAUGAUUACUUUUAAAGACUUAAUCUUUUAAAAGUAAACUUUUGAAAUAUACAGCAACUGUUCGAAAUGAUUUUGAAACAGUAAUCUGUGUGAUAUAAGGAUAAAAUGAAAAGCAUAAUAAGCUUAAAGAGUUUUUAGUAAUAUUUUUGGUAGGAUUGUUGGUAUUGUUAUUGAGACUUAUUUGUGUAUUAUCGGAUAAAGCAAGUCAGUAACUAUGUUGGUGUCAUUGAAAACUAGAAUUUUCAGAGUUGCUGAAAGGAAAAACAGAUAAAAGGCUGGCAUGGUUAAAUUAAAGCCCCGUCAUUUUUAGUUUGAAUUGGAAAUACCAUGAAUUUAUGGAGUAUUUUAUCUGAAAACAAAUAAGCAAGAUUCCCUGGUCUGUGCCCUAAAAAGGCCUAGAAACAAUGUUCAAUCUAGUAGUAAUGAAUUUCUAGCCCCAGAUUAUGGUCUUUGUAUAUUGUUUUCUAGGAAAAGAAACCAGUGCUCUGUGGAAAAAUGGAGGAUUCAAGGCUGAGGCAGGAAAUCUAUAGGAUGAGUCUGGACUAUUAUUAUCCAAGAAGGCUGCUAGAGUCCUGUCAGAAGGACUCAGGAGCUUACCUGAAGAGCUUCCUGCUAGCCAAAGAUGGGACACUUUGAACCUCAGUAAGGAUGAUAAAUACAGUGUGUCAAAACACAUUGACUAUGUUUAAAUCCAUGUGUUUAUAAUUAUACCUAAAAACAUUUCAGUCACCUUUGGAGAAUAUAAAUGAAGCAUGUAAUUACUUUGAAAAUAGGCAAAUAAAGGGUAAGAAUCAAGCA
Molecule: long non-coding RNA, 3121 nt
Organism: Vulpes vulpes (red fox)
Lineage: Eukaryota; Metazoa; Chordata; Mammalia; Carnivora; Canidae
Source: Ensembl